Molecule: ribosomal RNA, 667 nt
Filed under: Microbacterium sp.
Lineage: Bacteria; Bacillati; Actinomycetota; Actinomycetes; Micrococcales; Microbacteriaceae
Description: bacterial SSU rRNA
Rfam family: Bacterial small subunit ribosomal RNA
Source: RNAcentral
UCACGUCAUGGCACUUGUUCACAAGAUCCCGUCAUAGCUACGUGCCUGCAGGCGCGGUAAUACGUACGGCGCAUGCGUUAUCCGGAAUUAUUGGGCGUAAAGAGCUCGUACGCGGUUUGUCGCGUCUGCUGUGAAAACUGGAGGCUCAACCUCCAGCCUGCAGUGGGUACGGGCAGACUAAAGUGCGGUAGGGGAGAUUGGAAUUCCUGGUGUAGCGGUGUGGGAAUGCGCAGAUAUCAGGAGGAACACCGAUGGCGAAGGCAGAUCUCUGGGCCGUAACUGACGCUGACGAACGAAAGGGUGGGGAGCAAACAGGCUUAGAUACCCUGGUAGUCCACCCCGUAAACGUUGGGAACUAGUUGUGGGGGCCAUUCCACGGUCUCUGUGACGCAGCUAACGCAUUAAUUUCCCCGCCUGGGGAGUACGGCCGCAAGGCUAAAACUCACAGGAAUUGACGGGGACCCGCACAAUCGGCGGAGCAUGCGGAUUAAUUCGAUGCAACGCGAAAAACCUUACCUAGGCUUGACAUAUACCAGAACGGUGCAGAAAUGAAUAACUCUUUGGACACUCGUAAACACGUGGUGCAUGGUGUGUCGUCAGCUCCGUGUCGUGAGAUGAUUGGGUUAAGUCCCGCAACGAGCGCAACCCUCGUCUCUAUGAUGUCCAG